UGGGGAAUAUUGGGCAAUGGGCGAAAGCCUGACCGAGCAACGCCGCGUGAGUGAUGAAGGCCCUAUGGGUCGUAAAAUUCUGUUAUAUGGGACGAACCAUACUGAUGAGGGAAACGUCAGUAUCUGACUGUACCAUAUGAGAAAGGAACGGCUAACUACGUGCCAGCAGCCGCGGUAAUACGUAGGUUCCAAGCGUUAUCCGGAAUUAUUGGGCGUAAAGAGUGAGCAGGCGGUUUUCUAAGUCUGAAGUCAAAUACAGUGGCUCAACCAUCGUUCGCUUUGGAAACUGGGAGACUAGAGUUCGGGAGAGGUAAAUGGAACUCCAUGUGUAGCGGUAAAAUGCGUAGAUAUAUGGAAGAACACCAGUGGCG
RNAcentral lists this ribosomal RNA (371 nucleotides) under uncultured Anaerorhabdus sp. RNAcentral's name for it is "bacterial SSU rRNA". It matches the Rfam family "Bacterial small subunit ribosomal RNA", at positions 355 to 717 of the family's 1533-position model. The record is from RNAcentral. Lineage: Bacteria; Bacillati; Bacillota; Erysipelotrichia; Erysipelotrichales; Erysipelotrichaceae.